CGAACGCUGGCGGCAGGCCUAACACAUGCAAGUCGAACGGGAUCUUCGGAUCUAGUGGCGGACGGGUGAGUAACGCGUGGGAAUAUGCCCUUCGGUUCGGAAUAGCCUCGGGAAACUGGGAGUAAUACCGGAUACGGUCUACGGACGAAAGAUUUAUCGCCGAAGGAUUAGCCCGCGUUGGAUUAGGUAGUUGGUGGGGUAAUGGCCUACCAAGCCGACGAUCCAUAGCUGGUUUGAGAGGAUGAUCAGCCACACUGGGACUGAGACACGGCCCAGACUCCUACGGGAGGCAGCAGUGGGGAAUCUUAGACAAUGGGGGAAACCCUGAUCUAGCCAUGCCGCGUGAGCGAUGAAGGCCUUAGGGUUGUAAAGCUCUUUCAGUGGGGAAGAUAAUGACGGUACCCACAGAAGAAGCCCCGGCUAACUCCGU
This 430-nucleotide ribosomal RNA is filed under the name uncultured bacterium. RNAcentral's name for it is "bacterial SSU rRNA". It matches the Rfam family "Bacterial small subunit ribosomal RNA", at positions 30 to 506 of the family's 1533-position model. The record is from RNAcentral.